This 228-nucleotide long non-coding RNA is filed under the name Homo sapiens (human). Its description in RNAcentral is "LNC_000990". Lineage: Eukaryota; Metazoa; Chordata; Mammalia; Primates; Hominidae. The record is from RNAcentral.
GGCAGGAGACGGAGGUCAGGACAUUUGAGUUUACAGUAAAACAAUACCUCGGUGUCUAAGAAGAUGCGUUCUCAUUAAAACUAAGAAAAGGGGUUUCUUGGCUGGGAACGAUGGCUCACGCCUGCAAUCCCAACACUUUGGGAGGCCAAAGGAGGAGGAUCACUUGAGACAGGGAAAGAAAGGGAAAAAAAUGAGAAAGAAGAUAAAGGAAAAAAAGAGAAGAAAGAG